This 928-nucleotide ribosomal RNA is filed under the name uncultured bacterium. RNAcentral's name for it is "bacterial SSU rRNA". It matches the Rfam family "Bacterial small subunit ribosomal RNA", at positions 8 to 916 of the family's 1533-position model. The record is from RNAcentral.
AGAGUUUGAUCUGGCUCAGAGCGAACGCUGGCGGCGUGCUUAGGCAUGCAAGUCGAGCGAGAAAGGGGGGGCAACCCCCCGAGUAAAGCGGCGAAAGGGUGAGUACAGCAUCGACAACCUGCCCCCAGGACUCGGGAUAACGGCUGGAAACGGCCGCUAAUACCGGAUGGCCCCGCGAGGAGGCAUCUCCUUGCGGGUAAAGGUGGGGACCUUCGGGCCUUCCACCUGGGGAGGGGUCGAUGUCCUAUCAGCUAGUUGGCGGGGUGACGGCCCACCAAGGCGACGACGGGUAGCCGGACUGAGAGGUCGACCGGUCACACUGGGACUGAGACACUGCCCAGACUCCUACGGGAGGCUGCAGUCGCGAAUCUUCCGCAAUGGGCGAAAGCCUGACGGAGCGACGCCGCGUGUGGGAUGAAGGCCUUCGGGUUGUAAACCACUGUCACGCGUUAGGAACACCGGGGCGAUAACAUCAAUCCGGAUGACAAAGGCGCGAGAGGAAGCCACGGCUAACUCUGUGCCAGCAGCCGCGGUAAGACAGAGGUGGCAAGCGUUGCUCGGAGUUACUGGGCAUAAAGGGCGCGUAGGCGGUCGUGCACGUCGGUGGUGAAAUCUCCGGGCUCAACCCGGAAACUGCCGUCGAUACGGUGCGACUCGAGUGCGGGAGGGGAGAGUGGAACUCCUGGUGGAGCGGUGAAAUGCGUAGAUAUCAGGAGGAACGCCGGUGGCGAAAGCGGCUCUCUGGUCCGCAACUGACGCUGAGGCGCGAAAGCUAGGGGAGCAAACGGGAUUAGAUACCCCGGUAGUCCUAGCCCUAAACGAUGAGCACUAGGUAGUGGCGGGUCCGACUCGUCACUGCUGAAGCUAAUGUAAUAAGUGCUCCGCCUGGGGAGUAUGGUCGCAAGGCUAAAACUCAAAGGAAUGACGG